RNAcentral lists this ribosomal RNA (18 nucleotides) under Puccinia galiiuniversa. RNAcentral's name for it is "partial 28S ribosomal RNA". The record is from RNAcentral. Lineage: Eukaryota; Fungi; Basidiomycota; Pucciniomycetes; Pucciniales; Pucciniaceae.
AAAGACCUCAAAUCAGGU